Molecule: long non-coding RNA, 2126 nt
Organism: Mus musculus (house mouse)
Lineage: Eukaryota; Metazoa; Chordata; Mammalia; Rodentia; Muridae
Product: predicted gene, 52103
Exons: 3
Source: RefSeq, a predicted model, not a curated record
UAGAAUUCUUGUUUUCUCCUGGGAGACUCUCCUCAUUUUGGCUGGGGACAAAUGUUUGCUUUUUUUUUUUCUGUUUUUUUUUUUUUUUUUUUUUUUUUUUUUUUUUUUUUGUUCUCCCACAAGGUGUGCCUUGGCUGGCCUUCUCUGGUUGCUACUUAUGCACGGACACAGGCACUUGGCAAUCACUUUUACUCGUGUGAACUUAGUGUGUGCCUUGCUCACAGUGGCUCCUUAGUAAAUGCUUACUGAUAUGUUUAUAAAAAGAUAAAGAAGUAUAAGAUAUGUUUUGUGGGGCUGUGGUGAGGUAUGGGGGAAGAGGGUGUGGUGGACCUAUGCCAAUUACCCCUGAGGGACCAGUCACAUGAGUUAAGAGGGUAGUAGAGCCAGAGAAAGGCAGAAAGAGUAGAGAAGUAGAGGCCAGCCAUGGCCACAAGUGUGUGGAGAGAGGGUUGGGGGAAGGGGAGAGCAAGAGCAAGAGCAAGAGAGAAGCAAGAGGGAAGCAAGAGUAAGAGAGGAAUGAGGGGCCAAGCAGCCCUUUUAUAGUGGAUCAGGCCUACCUGGCUAUUGCCAGGUAAAUGUGGGGUUGAGUUUAGACAGAAUGCUAAUACUUAUGGGAUGAAUAAUGCAUGUAUGAAGUAUGAGGGGCAUCUCAUAAUAUCUUGCUUUUAUUGGACUUCCUAGGUGGUACUGUUUAACAAUGGGACUCUAAUUGGCUUGAGCCAUGAAAGACAUUACUUAUGGGAUCUUGUGAUCUGUGUGUCAAUCAUUUAUCUGUAAAAACUUGUUUCAGUUCUUCCUUAUGUAGGUAGUAGGGAAGGAAAUUUAUGGCUAUUUAGGACUUUUUAAUCUAGGUUAUUUUUGACAGACCUGGAAUUUGGAAGGUAUCACUUGGGGCCUCAAUUUACAAAUGGAAAAAAUCAGGUGUAAUGGUCUCUGUCCGUAGGGGGAGAGUUUGGGGUAUGCUGACACAUUGUACCCUGUGGGAAAGCAGGUGAGCCCAGUCACAGGGAACCACUUUCCUCCGACCAGGAUAUAGAACUGGCUGCUGACAGAAAUGGGUCUCAUGCAGGGUUCCAUGAGAGCCUCUGAAGAAACAGCAACAGAGACGACAAUGUUGCAGUGACAACUGAAGCACUGUCUCAAUCAAUGGAUGUGUGAAGUAUUCUCUUAUUAGCCAGUGCUCUAGUAGGGGAAACCAUUUUCUGUGAAAUGGAACGAAGAGAACAGCGGUGGUCAUGGGCAGCCCAGCCUCUUUUGCCUUUCCCUGCUGGUGAGGAGACCAUUUAAUUUGCACUAGAGUGCCAGCCAGCCCUGUAAACCUCAGCUCUUAGAAGUAAACCCAGCCCAUCUAGGUUGCAAAUGAGUCUCUCCAGCCCAGAGAGUCUGGAGACAGGGCCACCACCCUCUACUUUCCACGUGAGCCCCCAGGCAGCCCUUCCUGCCUUACCUGGCUCCUUGCUCCCAGUCAGAGCAGAACAGUGACUGCUCUUAAGUUUCCUGGCAUCAGUGGCUUGGCUGCUGCAUAUACAGUCUAAAUGGAGCUGAAAUGCAGCAGGCCUCCUGGGGGACUUUGUUCCCUGUCACUAACAGAGCCUCUUCUGGAAGACAGCAUCCUGGCCCCCUGUUGUUUGGUUGGUUUGGUUUUUUAGCAGGGCUGUAAAUGGGCACAUAGGUGCCCUUCCAUGCUUUGCAGGUAGGAGAGUGACUGGCUGCUCAGCAGGUCUUUGUUGACAUCUUUGUGAGUUCAUCACCCUUGGUGAGUGAGGUGAGCUAGCAGGGACUGGUAAGGCCUUUGGUCAGCUUGCAGAUGUCCUUCUGCAGAUUACCCUGCUCUUGGUUCCAGCCCUCUCUGCUACUACUGUGCAACUCUCCUAACCUCCCUCUGCUCAGUAAACCAUGCCAUUCCCUCUGGAAGCACAGGAUUCCUGCUGAAGAUGGACAAAGGUGAUGAGACAUGGAGGCGAAGAAUCUGACCACAUACUGAGGGUCUCCUGCAGCUACUACAUGAAGCACCAUGAACUGGGUGGCCUAAGACACUUCCAUAUUUCUAGGAGCUGGAACCUAAAGCCAUGAUGUGGGUUGUCUGCUAGAAGAAUCUCUUGGCCAUUUGUAUUAAGGUAGCAUGU